This 498-nucleotide ribosomal RNA is filed under the name uncultured bacterium. RNAcentral describes it as "partial 16S ribosomal RNA". It matches the Rfam family "Bacterial small subunit ribosomal RNA", at positions 29 to 507 of the family's 1533-position model. The record is from RNAcentral.
ACGAACGCUGGCGGCGUGCUUAACACAUGCAAGUCGAACGGGCCCGCUCUCUUUUUUGGGGGUGGGUUGAGUGGCGAACGGGUGAGUAUCACGUGAGUAACCUGCCCCCUGCUCCUGGAUAACUGCUUGAAAGGGCGGCUAAUACGGGGUGUGCCGGCUGGUCCGCAUGGGCCUGGUCGGGAUAGUUUCAUCUUCGGGUGUUUCGGUGGGGGAUGGGCUCGCGGCCUAUCAGCUUGUUGGUGGGGUGAUGGCCCACCAAGGCGGUGACGGGUAGCCGGCCUGAGAGGGUGGGCGGCCACACUGGGACUGAGACACGGCCCAGACUCCUGCGGGAGGCAGCAGUGGGGGGUAUUGCACAAUGGGCGGAAGCCUGAUGCAGCGACGGCGCGUGAGGGAUGGAGGCCUUCGGGUUGUGAACCUCUUUCUCCGGUGGUGAAGGCCCUGUCCGUUGCGGCGGGGUUGACGGUAGCCGGGUAUGAAGCGCCGGCUAACUACGUG